Non-coding RNA from Lonchura striata (white-rumped munia), 566 nucleotides. Lineage: Eukaryota; Metazoa; Chordata; Aves; Passeriformes; Estrildidae. The record is from RefSeq and is a predicted model, not a curated record.
CCCUGGAGUACAGCACAGCAAGGGCAGACAUGCUCCCCACAGCUGGAAUCGCCCCUCCCAGUGCCAGCUCUCCCCUGAGCUGCGGGGAUUUGCCGCUGGAAUGACAGCAGCAGGUUGCAGGGGCCGGAUGACAGGCAGAACCCCCAGCAGUUAGCAGCGCAGCCGAGGCUCGGGGGGCUGCAGGGGCUCCCCGACUGCAGGGCCCCCCAGCCUGGGCGGGCCCAGCCGCUCACCUGCAGCAGCUUCAUCCCCACCAGCUGCAGCCCCUUCCUCUCGAAGCGCCGGAUGAUCUCCCCGACCAGGCGCCGCUGGACCCCGUCCGGCUUGAUGGCCACGAAGGUCUUCUCAAAGAUCCUGGUGCAGGCACUUGGGUGAAGGUUUUCAUUUCCUUGGACUGUAAAUGUUCUUUGGAGCCUCAGGCAGUUCCCUGCAGCAGAAUUUGGAGGAGAAACAUGUCAAACACUCUCUGCUUGGGCCUAUGGAGAAUGCAGCACACAAGGUGACAAGUGACACCCUCUGAGCAUCCCAGUGACAUGGGACAUCAGUGGCAAAGACCAUUGCAUUGG